GAUGAACGCUGGCGGCGUGCCUAAUACAUGCAAGUCGAGCGAACGGACGAGAAGCUUGCUUCUCUGAUGUUAGCGGCGGACGGGUAAGUAACACGUGGAUAACCUACCUAUAAGACUGGGAUAACUUCGGGAAACCGGAGCUAAUACCGGAUAAUAUUUUGAACCGCAUGGUUCAAAAGUGAAAGACGGUCUUGCUGUCACUUAUAGAUGGAUCCGCGCUGCAUUAGCUAGUUGGUAAGGUAACGGCUUACCAAGGCAACGAUGCAUAGCCGACCUGAGAGGGUGAUCGGCCACACUGGAACUGAGACACGGUCCAGACUCCUACGGGAGGCAGCAGUAGGGAAUCUUUCGCAAUGGGCGAAAGCCUGACGGAGCAACGCCGCGUGAGUGAUGAAGGUCUUCGGAUCGUAAAACUCUGUUAUUAGGGAAGAACAUAUGUGUAAGUAACUGUGCACAUCUUGACGGUACCUAAUCAGAAAGCCACGGCUAACUACGUG
This 497-nucleotide ribosomal RNA is filed under the name uncultured bacterium. RNAcentral describes it as "partial 16S ribosomal RNA". It matches the Rfam family "Bacterial small subunit ribosomal RNA", at positions 28 to 507 of the family's 1533-position model. The record is from RNAcentral.